GACGAACCGUCCUAACGUUGUUCGGAAUCACUGGGCUUAAAGGGCGCGUAGGCGGGUCACAAAGUCCGGGGUGAAAUCUUUCGGCUUAACCGGAAAAUAGCCUUGGAUACUGGUGGUCUGGAGGGUGGUAGGGGCAUGUGGAACUUCCGGUGGAGCGGUGAAAUGCGUUGAUAUCGGAAGGAACGCCGGUGGCGAAAGCGACGUGCUGGACCACUUCUGACGCUGAGGCGCGAAAGCCAGGGGAGCAAACGGG
RNAcentral lists this ribosomal RNA (253 nucleotides) under uncultured bacterium. RNAcentral describes it as "partial 16S ribosomal RNA". It matches the Rfam family "Bacterial small subunit ribosomal RNA", at positions 524 to 776 of the family's 1533-position model. The record is from RNAcentral.